AUUGAACGCUGGCGGCAUGCUUUACACAUGCAAGUCGAACGGCAGCGCGGGCUUCGGCCUGGCGGCGAGUGGCGAACGGGUGAGUAAUGCAUCGGAACGUGCCCAGUAGUGGGGGAUAGCCCGGCGAAAGCCGGAUUAAUACCGCAUACGACCUGAGGGUGAAAGCGGGUGACCGAAAGGCCUCGCGCUAUUGUAGCGGCCGAUGUCGGAUUAGCUAGUUGGUGGGGUAAAGGCUUACCAAGGCGACGAUCCGUAGCUGGUCUGAGAGGACGACCAGCCACACUAGGACUGAGACACGGCCCAGACUCCUACGGGAGGCAGCAGUGGGGAAUUUUGGACAAUGGGGGCAACCCUGAUCCAGCCAUGCCGCGUGCGGGAAGAAGGCCUUCGGGUUGUAAACCGCUUUUGUUCGGGAAGAAAUCCUCUGGGCUAAUACCCCGGGGGGAUGACGGUACCGGAAGAAUAAGCACCGGCUAACUACGUG
Molecule: ribosomal RNA, 484 nt
Filed under: uncultured bacterium
Lineage: Bacteria
Description: partial 16S ribosomal RNA
Rfam family: Bacterial small subunit ribosomal RNA
Source: RNAcentral